This 460-nucleotide ribosomal RNA is filed under the name uncultured Paludibacter sp. Its description in RNAcentral is "bacterial SSU rRNA". It matches the Rfam family "Bacterial small subunit ribosomal RNA", at positions 338 to 795 of the family's 1533-position model. The record is from RNAcentral. Lineage: Bacteria; Pseudomonadati; Bacteroidota; Bacteroidia; Bacteroidales; Paludibacteraceae.
CCUACGGGGGGCAGCAGUGAGGAAUAUUGGUCAAUGGGCGCGAGCCUGAACCAGCCAAGUCGCGUGCAGGAAGAAUGUCCUAUGGAUUGUAAACUGCUUUUGUAUGGGAAUAAAGUGAGGUACGUGUACCUUAUUGUAUGUACCAUUCGAAUAAGGAUCGGCUAACUCCGUGCCAGCAGCCGCGGUAAUACGGAGGAUCCAAGCGUUAUCCGGAUUUAUUGGGUUUAAAGGGUGCGUAGGCGGACCCUUAAGUCAGUGGUGAAAGUUUGCAGCUCAACUGUAAAAUUGCCAUUGAAACUGAGGGUCUUGAGUGUAAAUAAGGUAGGCGGAAUGUGUUGUGUAGCGGUGAAAUGCAUAGAUAUAACACAGAACCCCGAUUGCGAAGGCAGCUUACUGGGAUACAACUGACGCUGAGGCACGAAAGCGUGGGGAUCAAACAGGAUUAGAUACCCCUGUAGUC